This 125-nucleotide ribosomal RNA is filed under the name Chaetothyriales sp. Its description in RNAcentral is "partial small subunit ribosomal RNA". It matches the Rfam family "Eukaryotic small subunit ribosomal RNA", at positions 1657 to 1779 of the family's 1831-position model. Lineage: Eukaryota; Fungi; Ascomycota; Eurotiomycetes; Chaetothyriales. The record is from RNAcentral.
CCUUUGUACACACCGCCCGUCGCUACUACCGAUUGGAUGUUUUAGUGAGGCCUUGGGACUGGCUCAGAGAGGUCGGCAACGACCACUCAGAGCCGGAAACUUGGUCAAACUUGGUCAUUUAGAGG